Molecule: long non-coding RNA, 611 nt
Organism: Eurytemora carolleeae
Lineage: Eukaryota; Metazoa; Arthropoda; Copepoda; Calanoida; Temoridae
Exons: 3
Source: RefSeq, a predicted model, not a curated record
CUUUUAUCCUUUCAUCAUUUCAUGCCUUCAUCUUUUCAUCCUUAAUUUUUAAAAUCGUAAGAAGACCUUUUCUACUCUCUACUGCACUUUCGGACCAAAUUCAAUCAGCAUUAUUUGACUUUCGUUUUAGUCUUUGCCACAAACUCUGAUUUUCUUAUCCCCAUUUCUUGACAACACAACACAAUGGACUAAAGAUAUUUCAAAAUAUGAAUUCUGUUAAAGCAAAUAAUCUAAGUUUGAAAAGAUAAAGGUCUUAGAAAAGUUGAGACUGCUGCAGAGACUCUAUUCCUUUGUCUUUUUAAAUACCUUUUUGUGGUUCAAAAUAACCUGACGCGGGUAAAAAGUAUUGUCUUACACAGGCAAUGCCAACUUCAUGAUAAAAUGAAGCAAAACUUUGCCUGUACAGUGAAACCCAAUUCAAUCAUCAUCAAUCAAUUUUCUUCAAUAUAAAGGAUAAACAAUAUUUAAUGAAUGUACCGUAUAAAGCUGGUUCAACAAGUGUUAGAGCAUUCUUUGUAGAUAAUAAACAAUUUAAUGCAACAGUAGGUGGUUGUGGACAUGAAUGUACAGAAAGGAAUAUCGAUGAAAAUAUAUAAUAUUAUAUAAUUGGG